UACAUCAAGUGAUGAAAAUGGAAUAAUCUUAGGACACCUUCCUACACAGUAAUAAUGUCUGCUGUGGAUGAGAACAACUUUCCAUUCUGAUGAUGAU
Argentina anserina (silverweed cinquefoil) is the source of this 97-nucleotide small nucleolar RNA. RefSeq annotates it as small nucleolar RNA snoR31/Z110/Z27. The transcript has a single exon. The record is from RefSeq and is a predicted model, not a curated record. Lineage: Eukaryota; Viridiplantae; Streptophyta; Magnoliopsida; Rosales; Rosaceae.